GGUUGUGUAGUGUAGUGGUUAUCACUCUUGACUUUGAAUCAAGUAACCCGAGUUCGACUCUCGGCAUGACCU
Non-coding RNA from Nowakowskiella sp. JEL0407, 72 nucleotides. The record is from the annotation of a GenBank genome assembly. NCBI's taxonomy places the organism in Eukaryota, Fungi, Chytridiomycota, Chytridiomycetes, Cladochytriales, Nowakowskiellaceae.